GUCUUUUUGAUAAAUAAUUUAAAGUCUAAUCUGCCCCCUGAAAUUAUUUUAAAGGGCUGCGGUAUCUUAACCGUACAAAGGUAGCAUAAUAAUUAGGUUUUUAAUUGAAAUCUUGAAUGAAUGAUUGGACGAGAUAUGGGCUGUUUUAAGACAUUGAGAUUGAAUUUAAUUUUUUAGUUAAAAAGCUAAAAUUUUAUUAAAAGACGAGAAGACCCUAUAAAUCUUUAUAAUAUAGUUAUUUUAAUUAAUUAUUUAAGUAGAAAUUAAUUUAAAUAUUUAAGUUAUUUUAUUGGGGUGAUAUAAAAAUUUUAAGAACUUUUUAUUCAAUUUAAUCUAAAAUAAAAGAUUUUCAGAAUUUGAGCUAUUAUUAAUAAUUUAAAGAAAAAGAUACUUUAGGGAUAACAGCGUAAUUUUAAUAUUAAGUUCAUAUUAAUAUUAAAGAUUGCGACCUCGAUGUUGGAUUAAAAUUUAAUUUAAAUGCAAAAGUUUAAAAAUUAAGUCUGUUCGACUUUUAAAAUUUU
RNAcentral lists this ribosomal RNA (521 nucleotides) under Nothopsyche ulmeri. RNAcentral's name for it is "partial 16S ribosomal RNA". Lineage: Eukaryota; Metazoa; Arthropoda; Insecta; Trichoptera; Limnephilidae. The record is from RNAcentral.